Molecule: non-coding RNA, 1894 nt
Organism: Doryrhamphus excisus (bluestripe pipefish)
Lineage: Eukaryota; Metazoa; Chordata; Actinopteri; Syngnathiformes; Syngnathidae
Source: RefSeq, a predicted model, not a curated record
AUUUUUAAUGUAAUAUUUAACUUUUUCCUUUAAGUUCAAACGUCAGACGAUCAUAGCACUUAUGAGUCAGCCAAUCUGGUUGUUAGAGUGUCAUCUGCAUGUUGCUUGCAGCCACAAGGGGGCGUAUAAGCAUGCAAUCUGCUUCUUUAUCCACGACUCAGGAACAGAAAUAUUGUUUAAAUGUCAUUUACGACACUAAAAUGUGCACUUAAUGCAGCAUCGUGGCCCAGAAACCGCCGGGGGAAGGAAACAGAAAGUAAAAGCAUUAAAGUUUGAAUGAAUCCACCAUUUCAUCAUCAGAUCAAACGUAAUGUAGACUCAAACGCUGAACAGAGGAGUCAUCUUUCUUGUAAUGUCUCCCUCUGCUGGUGACGUUUAAAACGUGCCUUUUAGAGGGACGAAUACAAAUUUAUGUUCAUGUUAACACUGUAAAAAAAUAUAUGUUUUUGAAAUACAUAACAUUCAUUUUCCUUCCUCACAGUGUGAGGGGAGAAAAUACGUUAAACCUACCCUUAAAAAUAAGUUUAUUCAAGUAUACUAUGAGUAUACUUAUUUUAGACUAAAAAUGACGACGUAUUCUCGAGGUUUACUUUUUAUAAACUAUUUUAUAUACUUAAGAAUAGCACGGUGAAGUAUACUUAUACUGAAUGUUAUGCCUUGCACUUGCCAUGGUCCCGCCCCCUACCUGGCAGCCAAUGGGAGUCGCCUAAUUGGUGCCAUGUCAGGCCCCACCCCUAAAAGGUGACGUUGACUACUCAACACGGAAGGAGGAGGCAUAGCCGAGCUAACAAAUAUUUUUAAGCAUUAAGAUGCCACAAUGGCAUUUACAAUGUAUUAUUUCAAGGACAAUACUGUGGAGGUUGGGAAGAUUUCAUGGAUGAGUAUUGACGGCUAGCAACAAUGUGAUCUCUGUAAGAAGAGACAGGAGUUCAUAAAGGGUGACAACAUCUAGCAAGAAGGAACCAAUAUGAAGUGGAAGCCCAACAACAAGUGGAAAGAUGUAGAAGAGGAGGAUCAUGAAGUUCUACCAAAAAAGUAGACUAACUCUAAUGAGGAGCAGCCGCCCAGAAACACAGUAGAAAGUGAAAGCGCUUCAGAGAGAAACCAAGCCUGAAAGGAGACUGUGUGAAAGAUAUACUAGAUGCCAUGAGAGCCCAUGACAGGCCAAACUCCCAGACCCCCCAAGAUGUGAGAUGAAUCCUAAAGAAGACUCCAAUAAAAGUACAUGGUCUGUAGUAUACUUUUAAAGUAUACUUUUUUGUUAACUUAAAAUGUUCCAAUUUAGUUCCAAGAAGUGUUAAAUAGUAUACUUUGUAGUAUACUAAAAGUAUAUCAUCUUCUACUUUUACACUUAUAUUCAAGUAUACUUAUAUAUAUGUAUGGUGUUCAUCACCUUCGUUAUAAAGGCAAGGAUCCUUGCCAGCUGACUAGCUCCAUUGGUAGCACCACAGAUUCAUGGUGCAGGGGAGCGAGGUUCAAUACCCGGUCAGGGCAAGUGUAGGUCAUUUUGCCAUUUGUCCAGUUCCAACACCUAUCGCAGUCAUCACCUCCGUUAUAACAUCAUGAAUGUCUGCCAGCUGACUAGCUCCAUUGGUAGCACCGCAGAUUCAUGGUGCUGGAGUACUGUGUUCAAAUCCUAGUCGGUCCAAAAAAAACCAAAACAAAAAUGAUAGGGCGUUGCCUUCCCAGUCGGCACAAAAAGGGGUGUGUGUAACUUCCCCCCUCAACUUGAAAUUAUGCGGGAUCCCGCCUCCGGGGGGAUCCCGCCUCCAAAAUGAUCCCGCCUCUUGAGGGAUUGAUAAUUAAAUAUGUGCCUCCAACUGGAUGAAGUCAACAUAAAAUGAGAAGUAGGUGGAGUUAAGUGGGCGCAAACUCGUAUAGUGGGGGAUGGCCG